UGGCACCAGCACUGGCGGUGUC
Molecule: microRNA, 22 nt
Filed under: Homo sapiens (human)
Lineage: Eukaryota; Metazoa; Chordata; Mammalia; Primates; Hominidae
Description: hsa-miR-9851-3p
Source: miRBase by way of RNAcentral